UUGACGAACGCUGGCGGCGUGCUUAACACAUGCAAGUCGAACGGAAAGGCCCUGCUUUUGUGGGGUGCUCGAGUGGCGAACGGGUGAGUAACACGUGAGUAACCUGCCCUUGACUUUGGGAUAACUUCAGGAAACUGGGGCUAAUACCGGAUAGGAGCUCCUGCUGCAUGGUGGGGGUUGGAAAGUUUCGGCGGUUGGGGAUGGACUCGCGGCUUAUCAGCUUGUUGGUGGGGUAGAGGCUUACCAAGGCUUUGACGGGUAGCCGGCCUGAGAGGGUGACCGGCCACAUUGGGACUGAGAUACGGCCCAGACUCCUACGGGAGGCAGCAGUGGGGAAUAUUGCACAAUGGGCGGAAGCCUGAUGCAGCAACGCCGCGUGCGGGAUGACGGCCUUCGGGUUGUAAACCGCUUUCGCCUGUGACGAAGCGUGAGUGACGGUAAUGGGUAAAGAAGCACCGGCUAACUACGUGCCAGCAGCCGCGGUGAUACGUAGGGUGCGAGCGUUGUCCGGAUUUAUUGGGCGUAAAGGGCUCGUAGGUGGUUGAUCGCGUCGGAAGUGUAAUCUUGGGGCUUAACCCUGAGCGUGCUUUCGAUACGGGUUGACUUGAGGAAGGUAGGGGAGAAUGGAAUUCCUGGUGGAGCGGUGGAAUGCGCAGAUAUCAGGAGGAACACCAGUGGCGAAGGCGGUUCUCUGGGCCUUUCCUGACGCUGAGGAGCGAAAGCGUGGGGAGCGAACAGGCUUAGAUACCCUGGUAGUCCACGCUGUAAACGGUGGGUACUAGGUGUGGGGUCCAUUCCACGGGUUCCGUGCCGUAGCUAACGCUUUAAGUACCCCGCCUGGGGAGUACGGCCGCAAGGCUAAAACUCAAAGGAAUUGACGGGGCCCCACACAAGCGGCGGAGCAUGCGGAUUAAUUCGAUGCAACGCGUAGAACCUUACCUGGGUUUGACAUGGAUCGGGAGUGCUCAGAGAUGGGUGUGCCUCUUUUGGGGUCGGUUCACAGGUGGUGCAUGGCUGUCGUCAGCUCGUGUCGUGAGAUGUUGGGUUAAGUCCCGCAACGAGCGCAACCCUUGUUCACUGUUGCCAGCACGUUAUGGUGGGGACUCAGUGGAGACCGCCGGGGUCAACUCGGAGGAAGGUGGGGAUGACGUCAAGUCAUCAUGCCCCUUAUGUCCAGGGCUUCACGCAUGCUACAAUGGCUGGUACAGAGAGUGGCGAGCCUGUGAGGGUGAGCGAAUCUCGGAAAGCCGGUCUCAGUUCGGAUUGGGGUCUGCAACUCGACCUCAUGAAGUCGGAGUCGCUAGUAAUCGCAGAUCAGCAACGCUGCGGUGGAUACGUUCCCGGGGCUUGUACACACCGCCCGUCAAGUCAUGAAAGUUGGUAACACCCGAAGCCGGUGGCCUAACCGUUGUGGGGGAGCCGUCGAAGGUGGGACUGGUG
RNAcentral lists this ribosomal RNA (1440 nucleotides) under uncultured organism. RNAcentral's name for it is "partial small subunit ribosomal RNA". It matches the Rfam family "Bacterial small subunit ribosomal RNA". The record is from RNAcentral.